AGGCCAUGGUGAGGGCAUUCUUGGAGUAGAUCCUUACUCCAUAAGUUUGGAAAAUGACUCACUAGGCUUUUGCCUAAACUGAAAGAUAUCACUUCUAAGCUU
Small nucleolar RNA from Macadamia integrifolia, 102 nucleotides. The record is from RefSeq and is a predicted model, not a curated record. Lineage: Eukaryota; Viridiplantae; Streptophyta; Magnoliopsida; Proteales; Proteaceae.